Phoenix dactylifera (date palm) is the source of this 89-nucleotide small nucleolar RNA. RefSeq annotates it as small nucleolar RNA Z102/R77. The record is from RefSeq and is a predicted model, not a curated record. NCBI's taxonomy places the organism in Eukaryota, Viridiplantae, Streptophyta, Magnoliopsida, Arecales, Arecaceae.
AGGUGAGGUGAUGAUCAUGACAAGUGUCCCUAUUGGUUUGACAGCCGGGAUGAUGGCUUUCAUUGUAUUAGCUCUAUCUGAUCCCAUCU